This 206-nucleotide ribosomal RNA is filed under the name uncultured Staphylococcus sp. RNAcentral describes it as "partial 16S ribosomal RNA". It matches the Rfam family "Bacterial small subunit ribosomal RNA", at positions 151 to 355 of the family's 1533-position model. Lineage: Bacteria; Bacillati; Bacillota; Bacilli; Caryophanales; Staphylococcaceae. The record is from RNAcentral.
GGGAAACCGGAGCUAAUACCGGAUAAUAUAUUGAACCGCAUGGUUCAAUAGUAGAAAGUACGGUUUUGCUGUCACUUAUAGAUGGAUCCGCGCUGCAUUAGCUAGUUGGUAAGGACGCUACAGAAACGAUGCGUAGCCGACCUGAGAGGGUGAUCGGCCACACUGGAACUGAGACACGGUCCAGACUCCUACGGGAGGCAGCAGUA